This 76-nucleotide transfer RNA is filed under the name Alphaproteobacteria bacterium. Its description in RNAcentral is "tRNA-Thr". It matches the Rfam family "tRNA". From Rfam's summary of the family: Transfer RNA (tRNA) molecules are approximately 80 nucleotides in length. The record is from RNAcentral. Lineage: Bacteria; Pseudomonadati; Pseudomonadota; Alphaproteobacteria.
GCCGGCGUAGCUCAGUCGGUAGAGCACCCGCCUUGUAAGCGGAAGGUCGCGGGUUCGAUUCCUGCCGCCGGCACCA